ACUGAUAACUAUGCGAUAGGUGACAACCAGUGAAAUCAGAACGACUCCAAUCGUCGCAGGCCACAGUACGUAUUUCUUUGUGCUCUUGAGUUUGCUAUUUCCCGAGUGUCUAUACAGAAACCAGAUCCAACGAUGCAUCGAACCAUUUUCCUGUGCAUUUUCAUGACAUUACUCGUCUUUGGCCCUGUCAACAUGGUCAAUGGCCAAGGUGAUGGACGCAAUGGGUGCACGGAUCGCCUGACACUGACUGAAGACAGUGAGGCAGCCGAAAAUGGCAUGAAGCUAACUCCGUUCAUCCGGAGGCUGAAGAGAGCUGUUUCCGGUACGUUGAACAACUGCUGAAAGUACUUGACUGCCAUGCAGAAGAACACGAGUAUCUUCACCGAUCUUCUACCCAAGCCAAUACAUCUUUCUGACAGCUGACGAUCUCCAUAUCAACCAUAUUUUUUUAAAAAUCUAUAUUGUCUUAAAUGAGGUUCAUCUGAUUUCGCUGUUAAAUGUAAAUUUGAUUUAAAUGAACGUAACGCACUUUUGUCCUUCCCAAACGGAGGAUCACUCUGACGGCAAACAAUUAUCAGAUCAACUAUAGAGAUCAAACUCGUGUUGCUGAAGCUUCAUCUGGUUUUAAUAAAUUUCGAGAACGAUAGAAAAUGCAGGAAAAUACACAGUGUUUUGCAGCCUAAUGUAAAUAUUCAACCAGAAAAAAAUAUUCAUAUCAGUAAGUCCAUCGUGACUAAAAUCAACAAAUCGUUUGCAUACAGGUAUUUUCUUUUAAAGUGUCUUCUAAAAAUUGACAUAAUUUUCUGGUAUAUAAUGUAGAACAUGAUUUCAUAGUUACAUUGUUUCUUUUAUUGUCUACGAAUGAUUAUCUUUGUGGGUAGAACUAAAUAAAAAAAAUCAAACAUAAAUGCGUUACAAUUUCUCGUGUUUAAGGUAAUUAAAAUAUUUAGUUAAGAAAGUGGUGUGUCCGAUUGAGCCGAGAUGAUUGCUAACGUUGUCCUGGAUGAGUUUGGUCUAGGGAAGCUUUAAAAUGCCAGCCACCUUGACGAGGUGGCAAAAUAUUUUACCUUACCAUAUCGACAUAAUGUUCUCUAAUUGGGUAAUGUCGCUAUGCAAUGUUACAAGAAUAAAGGAGUUAUGUCAACAUA
Long non-coding RNA from Lytechinus variegatus (green sea urchin), 1148 nucleotides. RefSeq lists it as uncharacterized. The transcript is spliced from 2 exons. The record is from RefSeq and is a predicted model, not a curated record. Lineage: Eukaryota; Metazoa; Echinodermata; Echinoidea; Temnopleuroida; Toxopneustidae.